Molecule: ribosomal RNA, 253 nt
Filed under: uncultured bacterium
Lineage: Bacteria
Description: partial 16S ribosomal RNA
Rfam family: Bacterial small subunit ribosomal RNA
Source: RNAcentral
UACGAAGGGGGCUAGCGUUGUUCGGAAUCACUGGGCGUAAAGCGCACGUAGGCGGAUCUUUAAGUCAGAGGUGAAAUCCCAAGGCUCAACCUUGGAACUGCCUUUGAUACUGGGGAUCUUGAGUCCGGGAGAGGUGAGUGGAGCUGCGAGUGUAGAGGUGAAAUUCGUAGAUAUUCGCAAGAACACCAGUGGCGAAGGCGGCUCACUGGCCCGGUACUGACGCUGAGGUGCGAAAGCGUGGGGAGCAAACAGG